CUUAUGUCCUCCAAACUUUAGGCCUGAGCCAAAUGUGCCAGGCGUGUGUGCCAGGCGUGUGGUACAGGUCCUGGCAAAGAGAUCCACAGGGUGCUGGCCGGUAGCCUGUCCAAGCAGACGAGACCCAACAUGGCCACAGGAAGAGGUGGGACCAGGGAGGUGUACAGCCUUGCUGCAUGAACCAAAGGACUUGAUACACGUCCCUGUUUGUUCGCUUACACUGCAUAGCUUUUUCAUCUGCUUAUCUUUCCUGUGUUGCUUGCGAGACUGAAGACACCGUUAAGAACCGGGACCAGAGGCCCAGUGUCUGCACCGUCCCAGCAUCUCUCUGGCAUCCAGCAUGAAGUUGCUUUGAGGACCGAGUCGGACGAUGGGAGAGGAUACAGAAGUCCGGAGUCCCGGAUGACAUCCCAUCCUGGAAUACGGUACUGCUGAUAUCUGCCUUCCCUCUCCCAUCAAACCUUUCUGGAGACAUUGCCGAAGACACGCCCAGAGAUGUGCUUCUAUGCUGCUGCACACAGGAUGCUGAGCACUGAGCCUGUCUUGAGGAACCCUCGGAGCUGUCUGGCUGAUGGAGUUACUCCUCGGGGUGUGGCUGGCGGUGAUUGUAUUACCCUUUUCUUUCCAGUGUGGGCACCAGCCAGCAUUAGCCCUGCAGUGUUUGCUAUGGGCUGGCUGGAGGCUGGCAAGGGUGCUAACUGUGCUGCAGAUGUAAGAAGACCCCACUAAGGAAGGCCGGACACCCCCAGGAGCUGCACAGCAUACCUCAGAUGGGGCUCUGCAGAGUUAGCUCCCCUGACCCGAGGCUCUGGGGCCUGUGUGGGAGCCACGUCCCCACUGGCUUUGGAGGACAGCUAGAUGCCUGUGUCAGCCAGACUCUUGUACAGCCAUUGACAUGCUGACCAGGACCCUGACUGUCAGUGAUGCCUUGGGAAAUCUAGACCUUCAGAGACCCAUCCUUCGGGCUGCUCUGACCCCACCUCCCUCUGCUCUGCAGGUCAGGCCACCACCUCUCUCUGGGGGCUGCAAGGAUCUCCUGCCUGACCAUCCUGCUGGGUGUUCUCAAUGCACAGGUCACAGAGGGCCUGGGAAAACCACAUGGCACCUUGGUGGUUCCUGAGCUUGGAGUGACUCCUGGAUCCACUACACCUCACCAAUGCUAAAGCUGCAGACGUGCUGGGGAGGGGGUCCUGUGGGAGGGUCCUGCACUCUGGGGGGGGUGUUCCAUUUUGUUAGCUCCACUCCGUUUCUUCUCCCUCUUCCU
This is a long non-coding RNA of Mus musculus (house mouse), 1264 nucleotides long. RefSeq annotates it as predicted gene, 54264. Lineage: Eukaryota; Metazoa; Chordata; Mammalia; Rodentia; Muridae. The record is from RefSeq and is a predicted model, not a curated record. The transcript is spliced from 5 exons.